GGAAACUUGGACAAGCUCUAUGAGGGAGCUCUAAUCUUACAAUCUCGUUGAGGGAGCUAGCAACCUUUACAAAAAGAAAAGAAUUAUGAUAUGAAAAUUUUCCACUCCUUAUUCAACUUGUAGGUAUAAAUAUCAUGGUGGAAUAACAUCAUUAGAAACUACAAAUGAUCCAGCAUUUACUCAAUCUGCUCAUAUAAUCUUGGGAUAAGAAUAAAUUUUGGGUAAAUUCCUAUAAUUAUGGAACCCAUUACCCUACAUAAUAUCUUCCUUGAUCAUGUUAGUUUCCUACUCUAACGAGCUGACCUGCUUUCACUGCUUUCUUCAUUUUGGAUAUCCGACCUCCGUUCACUUGGUGCUUUGACAUCCUUCCAUUUGGUCAUCUGACCUCUUUCACUUGGUUAACCUCCCUUCAACCAGGUUGAUUGGUCUCCCUUGUUAGGUCAGUAUCAAACCUCCUUCCACUCAGUCAUUCGACCUUUUUUUACUCGGUUGACCUUCCUUCCUAGUCGAUUGGUCUCCCUUGCUUAGUAUGUAUCAUCCCCUUUCUUGAAAACGAGCUUGUGCUCAAGCGA
This 572-nucleotide unclassified non-coding RNA is filed under the name Hevea brasiliensis (rubber tree). Lineage: Eukaryota; Viridiplantae; Streptophyta; Magnoliopsida; Malpighiales; Euphorbiaceae. The record is from RNAcentral.